CCUACGGGGGGCAGCAGUGAGGAAUAUUGGGCAAUGGGGGCAACCCUGACCCAGCCAUGCCGCGUGAGUGAAGAAGGUCUUCGGAUUGUAAAGCUCUUUCGGUCGUGACGAUGAUGACGGUAGCGUCUAAAGAGGCACCGGCAAACUUCGUGCCAGCAGCCGCGGUAAUACGAAGGGUGCGAGCGUUGUUCGGAUUUACUGGGUGUAAAGGGAGCGUGGACGGCAGGGCAAGACUGGAGUGAAAGGCGUGGGCUCAACCCCCGGACUGCUCUGGAAACUGUGCGGCUGGAGUGCAGGAGAGGUAAGUAGAAUUCCUAGUGUAGCGGUGAAAUGCGUAGAUAUUAGGAGGAACACCAGUGGCGAAGGCGGCUUACUGGACUGUAACUGACGUUGAGGCGCGAAAGCGUGGGGAGCAAACAGGAUUAGAUACCCGUGUAGUC
RNAcentral lists this ribosomal RNA (440 nucleotides) under uncultured bacterium. RNAcentral describes it as "partial 16S ribosomal RNA". It matches the Rfam family "Bacterial small subunit ribosomal RNA", at positions 338 to 795 of the family's 1533-position model. The record is from RNAcentral.